Molecule: ribosomal RNA, 500 nt
Filed under: uncultured bacterium
Lineage: Bacteria
Description: partial 16S ribosomal RNA
Rfam family: Bacterial small subunit ribosomal RNA
Source: RNAcentral
AUUGAACGCUGGCGGCAUGCUUUACACGUGCAAGUCGAACGGUAACAGGGUGCUUGCACCGCUGACGAGUGGCGAACGGGUGAGUAAUGCGUCAGAACGUGCCGAGUAGUGGGGGAUAACGCAGCGAAAGUUGUGCUAAUACCGCAUACGUACUGAGGUAGAAAGUGGGGGACCUUCGGGCCUCACGCUAUUCGAGCGGCCGACGUCUGAUUAGCUAGUAGGUGAGGUAAAGGCUCACCUAGGCGACGAUCAGUAGCGGGUCUGAGAGGAUGAUCCGCCACCCUGGGACUGAGACACGGCCCAGACUCCUACGGGAGGCAGCAGUGGGGAAUUUGGGACAAUGGGCGAAAGCCUGAUCCAGCCAUGCCGCGUGUCUGAAGAAGGCCUUCGGGUUGUAAAGGACUUUUGUCAGGGAGGAAAUCCCUAGUGCUAAUAACACUGGGGGAUGACAGUACCUGAAGAAUAAGCACCGGCUAACUACGUGCCAGCCGCCGCAGUAA